RNAcentral lists this ribosomal RNA (588 nucleotides) under uncultured bacterium. RNAcentral describes it as "partial 16S ribosomal RNA". It matches the Rfam family "Bacterial small subunit ribosomal RNA", at positions 355 to 1375 of the family's 1533-position model. The record is from RNAcentral.
UGGGGAAUCUUCCGCAAUGGACGAAAGUCUGACGGAGCAACGCCGCGUGAGUGAAGAAGGUUUUCGGAUCGUAAAACUCUGUCUUUUGGGGCGAACGUGAGUAUGGUGAACAAUCAUAGUCAGUGACGGUACCAAAGGAGGAAGCCACGGCUAACUACGUGCCAGCAGCCGCGGUAAUACGUAGGUGGCAAGCGUUGUCCGGAAUUAUUGGGCGUAAAGAGCGCGUAGGCGGGAUAGUCAGUCUGUUGUAAAAGUGCGGGGCUCAACCCCGUGAUGGCAAUGGAAACAGCUAUUCUUGAGUGCAGGAGAGGAAAGUGGAAUUCCCAGUGUAGCGGUGAAAUGCGUAGAUAUUGGGAGGAACACCAGUGGCGAAGGCGACUUUCUGGACUGUGUCUGACGCUGAGGCGCGAAAGCCAGGGGAGCGAACGGGAUUAGAUACCCCGGUAGUCCUGGCCGUAAACGAUGGGUACUAGGUGUGGGAGGUAUCGACCCCUUCCGUGCCGGAGUUAACGCAAUAAGUACCCCGCCUGGGGAGUACGGUCGCAAGACUGAAACUUAAAUGAAUUGACGGGGUCAUAGCUGUUUCCU